CCAACACUUCGAAUGCAGGUCCCAAGGGCUGAUAAUAUAGUCAGGGAUUGACCUGUAGAGGGGUCCCCUCACAGGCACUGAGAGGGACAUGCGGACAUGAACGCUCCUGAUAUGAGCUCCAGUGAUGCUGACCUGCUAUGAGCCCUCAAACUGAAGACAAUGCAUGCCUUAUUUCUUGCACAUGGAGGACUGGCCACCACCCUUAACUGAUUCACCUCUGCCCCAGGCCAUCAGUUUCCCAUCUCUGGAUGAGACAGUCCCAAAGGCCCUUCCAAAGAUGACAUUGCACUACUUUCUAAUUGUGGGUUUGCAAGCUAUUUCAAGCGAUGUGACCCUGGGAAAAGUCUUGAUCCUCUUGGCCCAGAAGCAGGGGGCUGAUCACAACGACCCCAGUUCCUCUGCUGCUGUAUUACAACCCAGCUGGAUGGAGCACUUCCCUUCCAGGGGAAGGUGGCUGAGGCAGAAGCAGGGUGUGAGAAACUACUGAUGCCAGCUGGCUCUUGUCCUCAGAAGCACUCUGAAAUUAGUUUACCUGCUUGUUUAGCCAAAGAGAAUGUAAGUUCCUAGAGCAGGGGUUAACAAAUUUUUUUUCUGAAGAGCCAGCUAGUAAACAUUUUAGGCUUUCUCAGCCAUAUGGUCUCUGUUGUAACUACUCGACUCUG
Delphinapterus leucas (beluga whale) is the source of this 662-nucleotide non-coding RNA. Lineage: Eukaryota; Metazoa; Chordata; Mammalia; Artiodactyla; Monodontidae. The record is from RefSeq and is a predicted model, not a curated record.